AUUUUCUAGGGUUGUACCGUGGCACAUGGAGGUUCCCAGGCUAGGGGUCCAAUAGGAGCUGUAGCCACCAGUCUACACCAUAGCCACAGCAAUGCAGGAUCCAAGGUGUGUCUCUGAUCUACACCACAGCUCACAGCAAUGGCGGAUCAUUAACCCACAGAGUAAGGCCAGGGAUUGAAUCCACAACCUCGUGGUUCCUAGUUGGAUUUGUUAACCACCGAGCCGUGACGGGAACUCCUACUUUCUUUUACAAAGACAUCAAUAUUUAUGAUCUCACUGGUUUCACUAAUUCAACUAUCAUUUAGUGAACACCUACCUUGUGACAAGUUAUGCUAUAAGUACUGAAGAUAAAAAAUUAAAUAACACUCUGUCUUUUCCUCACACUAGAUGGUAGGUGCUCUCCUCAGAGCCUGCUGCAUCCCUCAGGGCCCCAGAGAUGCUGAUUUCUGAGUCCUCACUUCCUUAGGAGGGUAAUGUUCCCCUUGCCUUCCUUGCCUUUCAGGAUUAGAAGAUUGAGUUAUGGAGAUCUGAGUUCUGGUCUCUCUGGCAUCAGGCCAUUGUGAAAGGUCCUUUCCUUUCAGGCAGAAAACCGACAAAGUCAGGCACUUUGCUCUGAGGCUUUCAUUUGCGUUUCUAAGUUGAUUGCCUAAAACUGAGACCGCUUUCCCUGUGGGGAGAGGGAUGGACUGGGCUUCUUAAAGUGUGUGUGUGUGUGUGUGUGUGUGUGUGUGUGUGUGUGUGGUGUGUGUGUGUGUGUGUGUGUGUGUGUGUGAGAAGAGAGGGCAGAGUGUGGGUGGGGUAAUAGGACCCUGUGUCCUUCUUUGAUGUUGUCCCCUUAGGGAGCCCUUAUUAGAGCCUUCUCUAGCCUUCUUCUCUCUAGUCCCUUGUAACUAGCUUCACCUCUGUCACUUUCUCCUUUCACUCCACUGGCCUCCAAGGUGUUUAGCCAGCCAAGCUUGCUCCCUCCUUAUGGCCUUUAUGUUCUGUGUCCCUUCUGUGUGGGCCACUCUCCCCUGAGUCAUGAGGUUAACCUCUGACUUCCUUCAGGUCUUUACUCACCUUCUCUGUGAGGCCUUCCAUGGCCACUCUUUCAAAACUGUCAGCCUUUCAUCCCGAUGCUCUAUACAUUUCCCUGCUCUACUAUGUCUCCUGAGCACUCACUAUUGUUUACUUAAUUUCUGCUAGAAACAGAGCGGAAUGGACAAUAAAAGACAGAUAAUCUCCAGGGGAACAUGGAUUUUUGUCUGUUUGUUUCUUUCUUUUUUUUCUUUUUACAGCUGCACCUGUGGCACAUGGAAGAUCCAGGGCUAGGGCCUGAAUCAAAGCUGCAGCUGAGCCCUAUGCCACAGCCAUGGCAACAUCUAAAACCUGUGCUGCAGCUUAUGGCAGUGCUGGAUCUUUAACACAGUGAGUGAGGCUAGGGUUCAAACCUGCAUCCUUACAGAGACUGUGCUGGGUCCUUAACUCCCUGAGCCACAAUAGGAACUCCUGUCUGUUUUUUUCAUACUCUGUCUUAUAGAAUAGUUCUUUGUACAUGGUACAUUCUUUAGUAAGUAUUUGUUAAGUGAAUGAAUAAUGACAAAAUUCCCUAAGUCUCAGCUAGACAAAUAGGAAGUAUAAUCUCCUUCAUUUAAAUUGAUCAUAUGAUUUGGACAAUUGGAAUUUCAGUAGAAAUUCUUGACUUUAGAAUUGAAGACUCCCCUAAGCUUGUUGGCUAGUAUAGGGAAUCUUAGUAACAAAGGGCAUAAAGUCACAUAGUUUAUGAUAGUUUUAAUCAUAGUUUAUGAUUUUUUGAAGAUGAAGGAGAUGUGGCAUUUCUUGCAUCACAAUGUUUUGAGCAAAGUGUAGCCAGUUCACCUUGAGUGUGCACAAAAGCCAGCCUUGCCGCCUCCUGCUAGCUUUUGUUGGUGCAAGUAUGCCUGGCAGUUUGACUUGAGAAUGGCAUUAAGGACUUGCCAUGGUGCUGACAUGAGAAGUGAGAAAUGGCAAGUGCAUGGAACUAGCACAGGGAGCAAAGGGUCAGUGUUUCAAUACCAGCCAUGGCUUAGUUGAUAAGAUACUGCAAAUGAGUACUUCAUGUGUGUGUGUGAGUCUCUGUGUGUCACAUAAGAAGCAUAUAUUGUGUUAUGUGCACAAUGGCCAGUGAAUUUGAUGCCUCUUUUAUGGAUGCUAUUGGAUGUGUCAGCACUUCUUCCAUUCCCUUCUGUCUUGAGGUGUGUGGAAAUUUCUCCUGUGCCAUCCUUUACUUUGAUAAAGGAAUUGAAAAUAAGGUCUCCUCUCUUUGCUUUUGACUUCUCCAUUCAUAUAAUUGGUUUUCCUCCUUUGCUCAGUGCUCCCUAUGGUCACAUCAUAUUACAAAUUAUUAUAUAAUAAAAGUUGUUGCCUUGUAUUUUCUUUCCUACCUGUUUCCUACAGAACUUGGGAGAAAUAAAAGGAAUUGACCCAGGUUAAGAUGACAAAAAUAAUUAUCCCUCGUUUAAAAGAAGAAAAGUUUACAUUAAUAGACUAAUUCAAAUUUAUUUAAUUUUGCACAGAAUUAAAAAAAGCAUCUCACUGAAAAGUAACAUGAAAAAGAAUAUUAAAAUUCUUGAUAAGUUAAGGGGUUAGAAACUACCAUUUAUUGACUAUGUAUAGGGUACCAUCUAGAAAUUCAGUAACUGAGCUGAGAAAUUGAUGUUAUCCCAUUUUACAGGGAAAGAAACCAAGCUUCAGGGAUGUUAAUAAAUGCUAAGGACAUAUUAGUAGGAAGUGGGAGAGGCUGGAUUUGUAUUUAGAUGUGUCUGAUUCCAACUAAACUUUACUAUGCUGGUUUCCAACUGUCUUUAAAUUCAGAGUGUUCUUAAAAUUUCAGUACUGUACAUUCUAAAUUGAAAGCACUGUAUUUCAUUUCUAAGUAAGAUCAUCUUUUCCCUUUGCCAGAAAUAAUAUCUUUGAUUGCUCUAGCGCUUGGUUUGUAUGAAUUGCUUUCCUUGUUUUCUCAAUGCCAUGCAGGGAUUUAAAGUUCCUUGCUGUUAAAAACAGAGAUGAGUUACCUCAUUUUUGAAAUUCCUACACUGAGUUUCAAAAGCAAAAACAUGUCAUUAGGAGCUUAGGCUCAGAAUCUGAAUUUCAUCUUCUCUGCUUACUUACUGCAUAAUAGUGGCCACAUUCCUUAAUUAGGCUGUACCUCAAUAUCUCUAUCUGUAAAACAGAGGUAAUAUCAUCAAUAUAAAGAUUAAAAUAGUUAAUGUGUUAAUACAAUUAAAGUGCUUUUAAACAGAGCCUGACACACAAACAUCACCAAUAAAAUUUUUAUUUCUACCCAGGCAUGGCAAUCAUAAAGAGACAAUCAUUUUCAUUUUCUGGAACAUAGGAUAUUAGUUUCCUAAGGAUCCUUUCCUUCCAUGUCUUCCUGUUAACUAUCUGCUAGGGUUAUACCAGCUGCGCAUGGUGCUUUUUCACUCAAGAGGAAGACAUCUGAAAAUAGGCCUGUCUGUCUCUUUUAUUUUUAAAUUCAUACAUUUGUAAUGAAAAAAGCAAACUGAUCAUCAUUGGAGGAUCUUAGUGGACCAACUCAGUAUUUUGAAAAUUGGUCAGUACAGCAACAUACUAAAGGCCUAUCCUUCAUUUCCUGUGUGGACUGUCCUACUAGAUAAUCAAUAGUAGAAAAGGAAUUAUUUCUUUUCACAGAAGAGUGCAUGGAUCUAGGCAUUGGACAUCAAUACCCCUAAGAUCAAAGAGAGACAUAGAUAGAUAGACAGAUAGAUAGAUAUAUAGAUAGAUAGAUUAUGUGAUUCCAUUUAAUUGAACAUACCAUCAAUAAAGUAGUCUUAUUAAACACUAUAAUUUAUGGAGUUCCCAUUGUGGCUCAGCAAUAACGAACCUGAUUAGUAUCCGUGAGGACAUGGGUUCAGUCCCUAGCCUUGCUCAGUGGGUUAAGGAUCUGAUGCUGCUGUGAGCUGUGGUGUAGGUUGCAGACAUGGUUUAGUGUUGCUUAGGCUGUGGUGUAGGCAGGCAGCUUCAGCUCUGAAUUGACCACUAACGUGGGAACUUCCAU
Molecule: long non-coding RNA, 4036 nt
Filed under: Sus scrofa (pig)
Lineage: Eukaryota; Metazoa; Chordata; Mammalia; Artiodactyla; Suidae
Description: lncRNA (ENSSSCG00035054583.1, ENSSSCG00045016084.1, ENSSSCG00110027293.1)
Source: RNAcentral